AAUAGAGAAAUCGGCCCAGGAGACAACGAUACCUUUUAGCAACUGAAUGCGAUUUUCUUAUUCCCACAGGAGUUGGGGAAGUACGGAGUGCUUUUCUACAAUGCCUGCUUCAUGCUCAUCCCAACUGUCAUUAUUAGCGUCUCUACUGGAGACUUUCAGCAGGCCACUGAAUUCAGCCACUGGAAGAAUGUUUUGUUUAUCGUACAGUUUCUUCUUUCCUGUCUUUUGGGGUUUCUGCUGAUGUAUUCCACAGCUCUUUGCAGUUAUUACAACUCAGCUCUGACCACGGCGGUGGUUGGAGCGAUCAAGAACGUAUCGGUUGCCUACAUUGGGAUGUUGGUUGGUGGAGACUACAUUUUCUCCCUCUUAAACUUUAUAGGGUUAAAUAUUUGCAUGGCAGGUGGUUUAAGAUACUCCUUUUUAACACUAAGCAGCCAGUCGAAACCUAAACAACCUGUGGAUGAAGAAAGCCUCCCUCUGGAUCUGAAGAGCUAGACUGCAGACAGAGCUGCAGGCCUAGGCUGGAAAGAGCAGCCCCAGCAGGAGUGGGCAGCCCAGAGGUCCCACCCAUGGGGCAGUCACCUGUUUGGUCAGAGCACAAAAAGGAAUGUCUGGGAAAUACAAAGAAAGCUACCUCAUACUGCAUAAUGAGCCACAAGGAACCCAUAACUCCUGGUACAGAACCUUCCUAUCUAAGCGAAUUUGCUCAAAGUCAGCCAUGGGGCCCUCACUGUGUGCUGAGGAAGAUAUUUCCAAGGUGACUUUGCUUAUCAGCACCAUGGCCUUAAUUUUAAAGGUCCCAGCCAAGGAAAAGGAGGGAAAACUUUUUGCUGUUGAAACAUGUCUUUGUAAGAGUUGGUCAGUUUUGAUUUAUGCUAUGUUGGUAUUUUUUUUUUCCCAAGUCAUCACAGUGAAAUAAAGUCAUUUCUAUAUGUGCCACACAGUAU
This 947-nucleotide long non-coding RNA is filed under the name Rattus norvegicus (Norway rat). RNAcentral's name for it is "long non-coding RNA NONRATT012706". The record is from RNAcentral. Lineage: Eukaryota; Metazoa; Chordata; Mammalia; Rodentia; Muridae.